GGAAUCUCGGACAAUGGGGGAAACCCUGAUCCAGCCAUGCCGCGUGUGUGAAGAAGGCCUUUUGGUUGUAAAGCACUUUAAGCAGGGAGGAGAGGCUAAUGGUUAAUACCCAUUAGAUUAGACGUUACCUGCAGAAUAAGCACCGGCUAACUCUGUGCCAGCAGCCGCGGUAAUACAGAGGGUGCGAGCGUUAAUCGGAAUUACUGGGCGUAAAGCGAGUGUAGGUGGCUCAUUAAGUCACAUGUGAAAUCCCCGGGCUUAACCUGGGAACUGCAUGUGAUACUGGUGGUGCUAGAAUAUGUGAGAGGGAAGUAGAAUUCCAGGUGUAGCGGUGAAAUGCGUAGAGAUCUGGAGGAAUACCGAUGGCGAAGGCAGCUUCCUGGCAUAAUAUUGACACUGAGAUUCGAAAGCGUGGGUAGCAAACAGGAUUAGAUACCCUGGUAGUCCACGCCGUAAACGAUGUCUACUAGCCGUUGGGGUCCUUGAGACUUUAGUGGCGCAGUUAACGCGAUAAGUAGACCGCCUGGGGAGUACGGCCGCAAGG
This 544-nucleotide ribosomal RNA is filed under the name uncultured bacterium. RNAcentral describes it as "bacterial SSU rRNA". It matches the Rfam family "Bacterial small subunit ribosomal RNA", at positions 358 to 893 of the family's 1533-position model. The record is from RNAcentral.